Molecule: ribosomal RNA, 409 nt
Filed under: uncultured bacterium
Lineage: Bacteria
Also listed under: 1 other name
Description: bacterial SSU rRNA
Rfam family: Bacterial small subunit ribosomal RNA
Source: RNAcentral
UGGGGAAUAUUGCGCAAUGGGCGAAAGCCUGACGCAGCGACGCCGCGUGAGGGAUGAAGGUCUUCGGAUUGUAAACCUCUUUCAGCAGGGACGAAGCGAAAGUGACGGUACCUGAAGAAGAAGCACCGGCUAACUACGUGCCAGCAGCCGCGGUAAUACGUAGGGUGCAAGCGUUGUCCGGAUUUAUUGGGCGUAAAGAGCUCGUAGGCGGUUAGACACGUCGGAUGUGAAAACUGGGGGCUCAACCCCCAGCCUGCAUUCGAUACGGUCUGACUAGAGUGUGGUAGGGGUAACUGGAAUUCCUGGUGUAGCGGUGAAAUGCGCAGAUAUCAGGAGGAACACCGAUGGCGAAGGCAGGUUACUGGGCCACCACUGACGCUGAGGAGCGAAAGCGUGGGGAGCAAACAGG